This 200-nucleotide ribosomal RNA is filed under the name Nitratireductor aquibiodomus. RNAcentral describes it as "partial 16S ribosomal RNA". It matches the Rfam family "Bacterial small subunit ribosomal RNA", at positions 158 to 374 of the family's 1533-position model. Lineage: Bacteria; Pseudomonadati; Pseudomonadota; Alphaproteobacteria; Hyphomicrobiales; Phyllobacteriaceae. The record is from RNAcentral.
UUGAACUAAUACCGUAUGCGCCCUUCGGGGGAAAGAUUUAUCGGAGUUGGAUGAGCCCAUGUCUGAUUAGCUAGUUGGUGGGGUAAAGGCCUACCAAGGCGACGAUCAUAACCUGGUCUGAUAGGAUGAUCAGCCACACUGGGACUGAGACACGGCCCAGACUCCUACGGGAGGCAGCAGUGGGGAAUAUUGGACAAUGG